UUUCUCCUCCUCUUCUUAUCUUUUCCCCCUCCUUUCUCCUCCUCUCCCCUUUUCCCUUCUAUAAUUCUUCCCCUUGCAUCCUUCGUCAAUUUGGUAUUAGAGCUCAAUCCGUUUCCUUUGGCCAAAAUCCAAUCUCCGCUAACAGCUCCCACCACCCAAAAUUCAACCUUGAUUUGUAACAGAAAAAAAAAAAGAAAAAGGAAAAGGAAAAACAGUCAGCAGCAAACGUAUGAAAAAUAAUUCGGCCAGCAAAAAGGAGUCUGCUCCCGUUUUGUUCCCUUUAAGUUAGUGUUGUUUCCUGUUUUGGAGUUGACAGGUGGUUUCUUAGCACACUAGUUUCGUUAUAAGAUUAUGUUAGCCAGCAGUGCGUCUAUUUCUUUUGCCGUGUAUUAAAACAGGUAAAGCAUUUGGUCUCCUCUGGCUAUCCAUUUGUGAGAUUCGUUUGAAUUGGGCCUGAUUUACACUGUGUACCAACUAUGGUUGGUCUUGAAUCUCAUGAGGUAUAUUAAUUUUGCACGUUGAAAGCUUUACUUUUUAUUUUGGUGUUUUUGGUUGGUUAAACAUCAUAUUUCCAAUUUAAGAAAAAAAAUGUCAUAUCAUACCUUUUAACACCUACAACACAUCCCCAACUCUGUCUCAUAAUAGUGUGUGUUUUAUGUCUCCUUUUCAGUACAAUAAUCCUUCAUCUGGGCACUAUAAUUACACCGUUCAUUAUUCUUCUCCACACAUUACAUCACAACCCUGGGGCCUUAAUGGUCUUUUUGGACAUGACUCAUUUCUUGAUUGGCUCGAUAUUCUUGAAAUAUUCUUUGCCUAUCGCAAUUUGAGCGACUCACGAAAAAUUUAUCAUGCUAAUAUGUCAUUAUUCGGUUCUACUAUGACUUGUUGGAGAUCGUAUUUGCGUAACUAUCUAAAUCAAUGCACUGUCACUUUGUGGGAUGAAAUGAAAUGAAUCCUAGGUAAAAAAUAUGCUCCUAUGUAUUAUCGAAC
RNAcentral lists this long non-coding RNA (990 nucleotides) under Olea europaea (common olive). RNAcentral describes it as "long non-coding RNA (OEUR_LNC010880)". Lineage: Eukaryota; Viridiplantae; Streptophyta; Magnoliopsida; Lamiales; Oleaceae. The record is from RNAcentral.